RNAcentral lists this transfer RNA (99 nucleotides) under Caulobacter rhizosphaerae. RNAcentral's name for it is "tRNA-Arg". Lineage: Bacteria; Pseudomonadati; Pseudomonadota; Alphaproteobacteria; Caulobacterales; Caulobacteraceae. The record is from RNAcentral.
AAGGUCAGCUUGUCGGCGGGACGAUGAUGGCGGGUUUCGACCCUGUUAGGACCUUUGGAAGGUCUUCUUCCCGACCAGUUCUACGUCGGCUAGGCUUUA